UAGCAGUCGUCUUCCUCACUCUUCCGUGAGGCCUUUUUGGGGAAAGAAAUCGGAAGUAGGAAACAUCGGUGGAGGGUAGAUGCGCCAGACGCAGCAGCCAGCGCAGGGCCAGACUGCGACGGUGAGCCCUAACACUGCUGCGCCUCACUCCGGCGGCUCUGCAGAGGAGGCGCCGCCGAAGCAGGUGGCACUCGCCAUGGAUAGACUCGGCCACGCCGCCCGUCUCAUCGCCGACAUCAGGCUCGGCGCCGAUCGCCUUCUCGAAGCCCUAUGCGUCACCGCGCACCCUCACCAGAGCACCAAGCCUCUCCACUUGUUUCAGAAAGAAGACGAUUCGAUGCGCCAACACCUCCGAGACCUUCGCGCAGUUGGAAAGCAGCUCGAAGAGUCUGGUGUUCUCAGUGAAUCUCUUCUUUCACGAAGUAAUUCUUGGGGUCUACAUAUGCCUUUAGUGUGUCCUGACGGUGCAGUGGUUGCUUAUGCUUGGAAACGUCAACUGGCUGGUCAGGCGGGUGCAUCUGCAGUUGACCGGACGAGGUUAGCUCUUAAGGCCUUCACUGACCAGAAAAGACGGUUCUUCCCUCAUCUUGAUGAUGAAAGCAGGUUGAAUCUUGAGCCUGCUCUGAAGAAGCCUUGUUUUUCUCACGGAGUGACAGAGAUUAAACAAGACGAGCUUAAUGAACCUAGAACACUUUCAGAUAUUCUAACAUGUAUGGAAAAGGAAGUGCCAGAUCUUAAGAUUUUCACUUACGAGCGAUUAGACUGGUUGAAACAAGCUCCAGCACUUUCCUCACAAGCAAAUGAUAAUUCGAUCGGAGCACUAAAAGAACAUAACUAUCAUAGUCCUAGGAUGGGCCCUGGAUCACUUGCUGCCAGUUCCAAAGAUAAAGUUUCUGUGAUUGAGUUGAUUAUUCCUUCUGUCUUUAGGGCCGUAGUAUCACUGCAUCCAGUUGGUUCCGUAGAACCAGAUGCUGUAGCUUUCUUUGCUCCUGAUGAGUAGACACGUGACGGAGCAUGCUGCCACUGUGCUGCAGUAUUUUCUUGGAAUUCAAGAAAAAGCAGCUCUAUAUCCUCUAUUGCUUUGGAUCUGCAGCUACCAAAAUUUAUUUUCAAAAGCUUGUAGUAAAUGCGGACGGCUACUUUCUGUUAAUAAACAAUCAGAUUUAUUGUUACCUCCUGCCAUUCGCCCUUACAAGCAGUUUUGUACAUCAAGAGUCUUAUCAGCUGUGCCCAUAUCCUCACUGAAAGACCAGAGGUCUGAUCCUGUUCAAGCUUUUCACAUCGGUUGCUUCUCAGAAGAACUAUAGUCACACCUAGCUGUACAGGACCGUGUGGACUGUGAUUCAAAUGCUGUACAAUAUCUGGAUUCUUUAUUGAUAAUAUGCUCACAAUCAGAAGAGGAUGCAGCCCGCUUGCUAUCUUGUGGUGCUGCUUUUGGUGAUUCACUAGCUUGUGCAUUAUAUUUCCUUCCAGGUGAUAUAUGCUAGGGAAAAAUCUUAUUUGUAAUUGUUGCCCACCGCGUUUCAAGUACAUGAUGGGGUGUGAUGUUCAGAUUAUUCAUUGGAAUCCAUGGUGAUGUCAAAAGAACCGUUGAUUUUCUGUUGGCUCAAGUAGCUUGCCGUAUGUCAAGGCAAGCAAAGGUCACUCACUACUUUGCUUCGAUUUAGCUAGAAAGUUGGGAAAAACAAAUCUCUAUUCAUGUGCGGGACCGUUUGUGUUUGGUGGGAAGGUUGGAGCUUCUUGUUAAAAGUUUCCAACUUCACUGUCAUUUCAACUUGCAACAGGUAAAUUACAACUCCCUAAAAAAAGAAAAGGUUAUUACCACAAGUGAAUUAUCUUGCAACACAAGAAGAAUUACCUUCAUGUCGUAAAGAACUAUGACUAAGCACUCAUCAGUGCUCUAUACUCUUUAAGACAAAUGUCAUCCUAGGAGAUUCGUGACAAAAGGAGCAUCGUUUUUAAGAAGAAAAGUGUCUGUCCUAUAUAAAUUUUAGGAGAUUUGUGAUAAAAGAAGCAUCGUUUUUAAGAGGAA
Non-coding RNA from Momordica charantia (bitter melon), 2032 nucleotides. The record is from RefSeq and is a predicted model, not a curated record. Lineage: Eukaryota; Viridiplantae; Streptophyta; Magnoliopsida; Cucurbitales; Cucurbitaceae.